GUCUUGACAGGGCUUCACCAAGUUCAUAAUUACAUAGCCAAAAGUAACAAAUAAUGAUUAUCAGUUGGGGAAACACAGAGAAAAUUGCCCAGGGUAAAAAUAUCAGUGUAAACUAGGAAAGGGUUAAGUCCCAGAUAAUGGCUCUUAUGACAACUCUUGGACAACGCUGUGGAUACAGGUAUCUUAUCCCCCAAAACAAAGAGAAGGCCUUCUGGGGCAACACCCUACCAUCUCAACAAUCUACUUAUUGCCUAAAAUACACAAGAACUCCAAGACACCGCCCGGACGACCAAUUGUAUCCGGCUCAAACUCACUUACGGAACCUAUAUGUAAGUACAUUGAUCAUUAUUUAAAGCCAUUGGUGGAGAUACUUCCCUCGUAUAUUAAAGACUCUAACGAGGUAUUAAGAAAAUUGGAAGGGGUACAGCUGGAUGAGAAUUUCAUACUGGUGACCUGCGAUGUUGAAUCACUAUAUACUUCAAUUAGACAUGCAGAUGGCAUUGCUGCCACAAAGUAUUUUCUUGAGUCUAGUGAUCUUGAUCCGGCUUUAUGUGCAUUGAUUCUGGAAUUGCUCUCCUUUGUGCUGAGCAGGAAUUCUUUCAUCUUUAAGGGGGUCCUCUACCUGCAGCUCCAAGGGACCGCAAUGGGGGCGGCAUGUGCGCCCUCAUUCGCAAAUCUCUUCUUGGGGCUGUGGGAGAAUACCAUUUUUACAUCGGACACCUGUCCUUACGCUGACAGUCAUCUCAUGGGGUCGUUAUAUUGAUGAUGUGCUAUUUAUUUGGCAGGGGACCACAAAUGAAUUAGAUGACUUUAUGGCUUAUUUGAAUAAUAACAACUUCAAUAUUCACUUGAAGUAUAAAGCGAGUAGAACUAAUCUUGAAUUCUUGGAUAUUCAGAUUUCCACAGACGAACAGGGAUUCGUGCAAACAAACCUGUAUCGCAAAAGCACAUUGGCCAAUACUCUCUUACACGCCAACUCUGCCCAUCCUUCUCAUCUAAUUCAGAAUAUACCUGUUGGCCAAUACCUGAGAGCCAGACGACUGUGUUCCAUGGAACAGGAUUUUGAACACCAGGCUGACGAUCUGGAACAGAGGUUUUGGGAACGUGGUUACAGUAGAAGAAGUAUCAACAAAGCGUAUUGGAGAGCAAAACGGACAGAUCGGACAUUUCUGCUACACAGAACAUCUACACCCAAGAAAACAAAUGAUCAGAUGAGAUGUGUCCUAGACUAUAACACACAGCAAUGAGGUAUUGUCCAUGUCCCUGUGGGAAUUGGAGAACAGUGGCCCAACGUGAGACGAGCUGGAUAUUUAAACUGGACUCAUUAGUUCCCUCAGGAAUAAACGAGAUCAUGGAUGCCUUACCUGAUGUCUUGCUGACCAUGAUGCCUUAAUUUGAGGUCUCGUCUUCCUUUUACUGCUAUCUUCUUGUGGACCUGAGUGCUCAUGACCAUCAUGAGGACAUGCUGUACCUACAUAUACCACUUGCGUGUAAUUCGCACCCUGGUAUAUAUACACUUCAGCCAUUGGCCUCUUAGAUUGGCUAUAUGUGAUUCUUUAAUUUUUAAAAAAUUGUUUUGGCCUCUACGAGGGAUUUCUAUCAGUAUUGUGUGCCCCUUGCAGACCUUUGGUGGUCUUUACUUAGUUGUGCAACUUCAUAUAGUACGUUCUGUGCGAAUCAGUUGGCACAUUAUCUAUACCUAUAUUUUGAAUAAAUCUUAUAUUUAAAUUUUUAUGGCAUUUCUGUUCACAUUCUUCUCUUAUUUUUGGGUAUUGUAUCACUUUACACUCCCCUCACUUAUCACGACCUCACUCAUGCACUGGCACUCACAUUCCCAGAGUGAUUGG
Long non-coding RNA from Hyla sarda, 1847 nucleotides. RefSeq lists it as uncharacterized. NCBI's taxonomy places the organism in Eukaryota, Metazoa, Chordata, Amphibia, Anura, Hylidae. The record is from RefSeq and is a predicted model, not a curated record. The transcript is spliced from 3 exons.